UUGCUUCAGCAGCACAUACACUAAAAUUGGAAUGAUACAGAGAAGAUUAGCAUGGCCCCUGCCCAAGGAUGACAUGCAAAUCUGUGAAGCACUCCAUAUUUUU
RNAcentral lists this small nuclear RNA (103 nucleotides) under Phascolarctos cinereus (koala). Lineage: Eukaryota; Metazoa; Chordata; Mammalia; Diprotodontia; Phascolarctidae. The record is from RNAcentral.